GUAGACGACAAGGUUGAUAGGUCAGAUGUGGAAGAGCAGUAAUGUUUGUAGCUAACUGAUACUAAUAGGUCGAGGGCUUGAUCAC
This 85-nucleotide ribosomal RNA is filed under the name Clostridia bacterium. RNAcentral describes it as "partial 23S ribosomal RNA". It matches the Rfam family "Bacterial large subunit ribosomal RNA", at positions 2840 to 2925 of the family's 2925-position model. Lineage: Bacteria; Bacillati; Bacillota; Clostridia. The record is from RNAcentral.